GAUGAACGCUGGCGGCGUGCUUAACACAUGCAAGUCGAGCGAUGAAGUUUCUUCGGAAAUGGAUUAGCGGCGAACGGGUGAGGAACACGUGAAGAAUCUGCCCUCCACUUUGGGAUAACACCGGGAAACCGGUGCUAAUACCGAAUAUUGAAACAUAAGUGGCAUCACUGAGUUUUGAAAGAAUUUCGGUGGAGGAUGACUUCGCGGCCUAUCAGCUAGUUGGUGAGGUAAUGGCUCACCAAGGCAACGACGGGUAGCCGGCCUGAGAGGGCGACCGGCCACACUGGGACUGAGACACGGCCCAGACUCCUACGGGAGGCAGCAGUGGGGAAUAUUGGGCAAUGGAGGGAACUCUGACCCAGCGACGCCGCGUGCGGGAUGAAGGCCUUCGGGUUGUAAACCGCUUUCAGCAAGGAAGAAGCGAAAGUGACGGUACUUGCAGAAGAAGCACCGGCUAACUAUGUGCCAGCAGCCGCGGUAAUACAUAGGGGUGCAAGCGUUGUCCGGAAUUAUUGGGCGUAAAGAGCUCGUAGGUGGUUCGUCACGUCGGAUGUGAAAAUCUGGGGCUUAACCCCAGACCUGCAUUCGAUACGGGCGAGCUAGAGUGUGGUAGGGGAGACUGGAAUUCCUGGUGUAGCGGUGGAAUGCGCAGAUAUCAGGAGGAACACCAAUGGCGAAGGCAGGUCUCUGGGCCAUUACUGACACUGAGGAGCGAAAGCGUGGGGAGCGAACAGGAUUAGAUACCCUGGUAGUCCACGCCGUAAACGGUGGGCACUAGUUGUGGGAACCUUCCACGGUUUCUGCGACGCAGCUAACGCAUUAAGUGCCCCGCCUGGGGAGUACGAUCGCAAGAUUAAAACUCAAAGGAAUUGACGGGGCCCCGCACAAGCAGCGGAGCAUGCGGCUUAAUUCGACGCAACGCGAAGAACCUUACCAAGGCUUGACAUAUACAGGAAUAUGGCAGAGAUGUCAUAGCCGCAAGGUCUGUAUACAGGUGGUGCAUGGUUGUCGUCAGCUCGUGUCGUGAGAUGUUGGGUUAAGUCCCGCAACGAGCGCAACCC
RNAcentral lists this ribosomal RNA (1061 nucleotides) under uncultured bacterium. RNAcentral describes it as "bacterial SSU rRNA". It matches the Rfam family "Bacterial small subunit ribosomal RNA", at positions 28 to 1104 of the family's 1533-position model. The record is from RNAcentral.